Molecule: ribosomal RNA, 459 nt
Filed under: uncultured bacterium
Lineage: Bacteria
Description: partial 16S ribosomal RNA
Rfam family: Bacterial small subunit ribosomal RNA
Source: RNAcentral
CCUACGGGUGGCUGCAGUGAGGAAUAUUGGUCAAUGGGCGGAAGCCUGAACCAGCCAUGCCGCGUGCAGGAAGACGGCUCUACGAGUUGUAAACUGCUUUUGUACCGGGGUAAAAUGCUGUACGUGUAGGGUUCUGAAAGUACGGGACGAAUAAGGAUCGGCUAACUCCGUGCCAGCAGCCGCGGUAAUACGGAGGAUCCGAGCGUUAUCCGGAUUCAUUGGGUUUAAGGGUGCGGCGGGUGUUUUAUUAGUUAGCGGUGAAAAUCCGAUGCUUAAAACCGGGGCUGCCGCUGAUACUGGAGGACUUGAGUGCGGAUGCGGCAGGCGGAAUGCGUGGUGUAGCGGUGAAAUGCAUAGAUAUUACGCAGAACACCGAUUGCGAAGGCAGCUUGCUGGGCCGUAACUGACGCUGAGGCACGAAAGCGUGGGGAUCGAACAGGAUUAGAUACCCGGGUAGUC